This 497-nucleotide ribosomal RNA is filed under the name uncultured bacterium. RNAcentral describes it as "partial 16S ribosomal RNA". It matches the Rfam family "Bacterial small subunit ribosomal RNA", at positions 28 to 507 of the family's 1533-position model. The record is from RNAcentral.
GAUGAACGCUGGCGGCGUGCCUAAUACAUGCAAGUCGAGCGAACAGACGAGGAGCUUGCUCCUCUGACGUUAGCGGCGGACGGGUGAGUAACACGUGGAUAACCUACCUAUAAGACUGGGAUAACUUCGGGAAACCGGAGCUAAUACCGGAUAAUAUAUUGAACCGCAUGGUUCAAUAGUGAAAGACGGUUUUGCUGUCACUUAUAGAUGGAUCCGCGCCGCAUUAGCUAGUUGGUAAGGUAACGGCUUACCAAGGCGACGAUGCGUAGCCGACCUGAGAAGGUGAUCGGCCACACUGGAACUGAGACACGGUCCAGACUCCUACGGGAGGCAGCAGUAGGGAAUCUUCCGCAAUGGGCGAAAGCCUGACGGAGCAACGCCGCGUGAGUGAUGAAGGUCUUCGGAUCGUAAAAUUCUGUUAUUAGGGAAGAACAAAUGUGUAAGUAACUAUGCACGUCUUGACGGUACCUAAUCAGAAAGCCACGGCUAACUACGUG